UAGGGGGUCCCAUGGUCUCCCAUAUAUUUUCUUUCAUUAAAAUGUUGUAGUUUGGCCCGUUUUAGUUUCUUAAAAAUUGUUUCUAUUUAAAAAUCACAAAUUUUAAAAUUUUACCAAGAAAUUUUAAUAUAUCAUAUUCUUAUUAAGGCAAAGAUAUAUAACACCAAGUCUUAGUAAAUUGUAGCAUUACACAGACAUGUAUAUAUGUGGAGGUGUCUAUGCUUCUCUAAGCACUAGACGGACGUUACUGUAAGAAGUUUUUGUUA
This 266-nucleotide unclassified non-coding RNA is filed under the name Hevea brasiliensis (rubber tree). The record is from RNAcentral. Lineage: Eukaryota; Viridiplantae; Streptophyta; Magnoliopsida; Malpighiales; Euphorbiaceae.